Molecule: non-coding RNA, 26 nt
Filed under: Rattus norvegicus (Norway rat)
Lineage: Eukaryota; Metazoa; Chordata; Mammalia; Rodentia; Muridae
Source: RNAcentral
UGAGAUGUCAGGAGGAGAUCCCCUGA